This 364-nucleotide long non-coding RNA is filed under the name Coffea arabica (coffee). Its description in RNAcentral is "long non-coding RNA (CARA_LNC000863)". The record is from RNAcentral. Lineage: Eukaryota; Viridiplantae; Streptophyta; Magnoliopsida; Gentianales; Rubiaceae.
GGUAGAAUGUAUAAACAAAGUUGCAACCUUUACAGGGUUAUGAGGUCAGUGGUUCGGAUAUUGUAUGGAACGUGGUUCGAAGUCUCGGUCGAGACCGACUGAGACGACUCGGCCGGAUCAUCACCGUCUCGGCCUCUACCGAUACGAUACCGUGACGAAACGAUACCAAAAUACUUGACUCGCCGAGAAAUUGGCCGAGUCGUCACCGUGACGGAUUGACUCGGCCGAGUUACACCGAGUUAUCUCGAGUCAAAAUGAGAAAUCAGCCGAGUCACACCGUGACGGAUUGACUUGGCCGUUUCUUUUGCUAUUUUUUAAUUAUUUUUAUUUAGCAUACUUUUUUAUAUUAUUAAUAAUUUUUAGA